Pelobates cultripes (western spadefoot toad) is the source of this 280-nucleotide non-coding RNA. The record is from the annotation of a GenBank genome assembly. NCBI's taxonomy places the organism in Eukaryota, Metazoa, Chordata, Amphibia, Anura, Pelobatidae.
GUGUGUACGCCACUGAUAGUGUCCCUUUAAAACUUGAUAUACACACACACAUACAGACAGACAGAUACAUACAGACACAUACACAUAAACACACACAUACAUACAAACAGACAGGAACACAUAUAUACAUACAGACAGACACACACACACAGAAACAUACAUACAGACCUACACACACACAGACAGGCACACAUACAGACACAUACAUACAGACCCACACACAUACAGGCACACAGACAGACAGACACAUACAUACAUACAUACAUACAUACAGACAGAC